This 97-nucleotide Y RNA is filed under the name Zalophus californianus (California sea lion). RNAcentral's name for it is "Y RNA (ENSZCAG00015001828.1)". It matches the Rfam family "Y RNA". Rfam says of the family: Y RNAs are components of the Ro ribonucleoprotein particle (Ro RNP), in association with Ro60 and La proteins. The Y RNAs and Ro60 and La proteins are well conserved, but the function of the Ro RNP is not known. RNAcentral also lists the same sequence under 1 other name. The record is from RNAcentral. Lineage: Eukaryota; Metazoa; Chordata; Mammalia; Carnivora; Otariidae.
GGCUGGUCUGAGUACAGUGGUGUUUACAAUUAAUUGAUCCAGUUACAGAUUUCUUUGCUCCUUCUCCACUCCCACUGUUUCACUUGACUACCCUAAA